GUGAUGUAAGUAGGAAAAAGGCUCUGUACCCAGUGUUGCAAAUGCAUUAACAUUUAGGCUUGAUAAUCGACUCCCUGCAAAGUAUAUCUGAAGCCCCUAGGGCAAAGGAAGAAGAAUUGAAAGGUUAUAAAAAACAAAAUUACUGCCUCCUAUCCCCUUUGCGACCUUCUUCCUCCCAGGCUUCCCUUUGCCCUGGCAGGUCCUUGCAGAGGGAGGCAUGGCCGGAAGCAUCUUCCAUAUCCAAGCUACCAUCGCUUUUCUCUGACAGUGGGGCCAAAUUUAUGCUACCUUACAAUAAAGAUUUUUAUCUUGUUCUCCCUCAGUUUUAAGGCUUCUUAGCUGCCUUAACAUUUUCUUGAACCAAAGAGUGCUCUGAAUACAUUCAUAGUCCCCAGAGCAUCUUCAAGAAUCUUUCCUAUGGAAAAAUACCAUGUAGCCAGUAAAUCAAGGAAAGGGGCACAGGACUGUUGAGAUUAUUUUGUGAGAAGAUCUCAGAAAGGUAAUGUCAGUUGCACUUCCCCUACAUGUGAUGUACUCAGGAAGACAAGAAUUGCAACAUUGCAGGAUGUUUAGUCAAUGAAAUGGGUUCCCUGGGCACACGUCAUGAUGUUCCUGAGUCUGCUUUUGUUGAAACACGGGUUGAGUUCUCUGCUGCUCAUUGUCUUAGUUCCUCUAUUUACAAGUCUAAAUUUUCAAGGUGAAAAGGCAACCUAUGGAAUGGGAGAAAAUAUUUGCACACUGUAUGUCUGAUAUGGGGUCAGUAUCCAAGAUCUACAAAGAACUCAUAAAACUCAAUAGCAAAAAAACCAAAUAACCCAAUUAAAAAAAUGGGCAAAGGACCUGAAUAGACAUUUCCUCAAAGGGGAAUAUAAGAAAGGCGAAUAGGUGCAUGAAAACAUGCUUAGCAUCGGUAUUCAUUAGAGAAAUGCAAAUUACGACCACAAUGAGAUAUGACCUCAUACCUGGUAGAAUGGCCAUCACCAAAAAGACAAGAGAUAACAUGCUGGCAUAGAUGUGGAGAAAAGGGAACCUUUGGGCACUGAUGAUGGAAUUGUAAAUUGGUUGCAGUCACUCUGGAAAACAGCAUGGCAGAUCCUUAAAAAAUUAAAAAUAGAGGUACCAUAAGAUCCAGCAAUUCUUCUGGGAAUAUAUCCAAAGCAAAUAAAAAUACUAAUUUAAAAAAAACCCCUGCA
Molecule: long non-coding RNA, 1193 nt
Filed under: Sus scrofa (pig)
Lineage: Eukaryota; Metazoa; Chordata; Mammalia; Artiodactyla; Suidae
Description: lncRNA (ENSSSCG00030073833.1)
Source: RNAcentral